GACGAACGCUGGCGGCGUGCUUAACACAUGCAAGUCGAACGGAAAGGCCCUGCUUGCAGGGUACUCGAGUGGCGAACGGGUGAGUAACACGUGGGUGAUCUGCCCUGCACUUCGGGAUAAGCCUGGGAAACUGGGUCUAAUACCGGACAGGAGCCAUUUUUAGUGUGAUGGUUGGAAAGUUUUUUCGGUGUAGGAUGAGCUCGCGGCCUAUCAGCUUGUUGGUGGGGUAAUGGCCUACCAAGGCGGCGACGGGUAGCCGGCCUGAGAGGGUGGACGGCCACACUGGGACUGAGAUACGGCCCAGACUCCUACGGGAGGCAGCAGUGGGGAAUAUUGCACAAUGGGCGCAAGCCUGAUGCAGCGACGCCGCGUGGGGGAUGACGGCCUUCGGGUUGUAAACUCCUUUCGCUAGGGACGAAGCUUUUUGUGACGGUACCUAGACAAGAAGCACCGGCUAACUACGUG
This 465-nucleotide ribosomal RNA is filed under the name uncultured bacterium. RNAcentral describes it as "partial 16S ribosomal RNA". It matches the Rfam family "Bacterial small subunit ribosomal RNA", at positions 28 to 507 of the family's 1533-position model. The record is from RNAcentral.